UACGUAGGGUGCAAGCGUUGUCCGGAAUUAUUGGGCGUAAAGAGCUCGUAGGCGGUUUGUCGCGUCUGCUGUGAAAACGCGAGGCUCAACCUCGCGCCUGCAGUGGGUACGGGCAGACUAGAGUGUGGUAGGGGAGAUUGGAAUUCCUGGUGUAGCGGUGGAAUGCGCAGAUAUCAGGAGGAACACCGAUGGCGAAGGCAGAUCUCUGGGCCAUUACUGACGCUGAGGAGCGAAAGCGUGGGGAGCGAUCCGG
Molecule: ribosomal RNA, 253 nt
Filed under: uncultured bacterium
Lineage: Bacteria
Description: partial 16S ribosomal RNA
Rfam family: Bacterial small subunit ribosomal RNA
Source: RNAcentral